This is a transfer RNA of Fistulina hepatica ATCC 64428, 99 nucleotides long. It matches the Rfam family "tRNA". From Rfam's summary of the family: Transfer RNA (tRNA) molecules are approximately 80 nucleotides in length. Their secondary structure includes four short double-helical elements and three loops (D, anti-codon, and T loops). The record is from Rfam. Lineage: Eukaryota; Fungi; Basidiomycota; Agaricomycetes; Agaricales; Fistulinaceae.
GCCCGCCUAGCUCAAUCGGAUAGAGCGUCAGACUCUUAUAAUAAGGUAUGACCAUGGUGUAUGAUCUGAAGGCUGCGAGUUCGACCCUCGCGGUGGGCU